RNAcentral lists this ribosomal RNA (388 nucleotides) under uncultured bacterium. RNAcentral describes it as "bacterial SSU rRNA". It matches the Rfam family "Bacterial small subunit ribosomal RNA", at positions 30 to 420 of the family's 1533-position model. The record is from RNAcentral.
AUUGAACGCUGGCGGCAUGCCUUACACAUGCAAGUCGAACGGCAGCGGACCUUCGGGUGCCGGCGAGUGGCGAACGGGUGAGUAAUAUAUCGGAACGUACCUUUCAGUGGGGGAUAACGUAGCGAAAGUUACGCUAAUACCGCAUAUUCUGUGAGCAGGAAAGCAGGGGAUCGCAAGACCUUGCGCUGAUUGAGCGGCCGAUAUCAGAUUAGCUAGUUGGUGAGGUAAAGGCUCACCAAGGCGACGAUCUGUAGCGGGUCUGAGAGGAUGAUCCGCCACACUGGGACUGAGACACGGCCCAGACUCCUACGGGAGGCAGCAGUGGGGAAUUUUGGACAAUGGGCGCAAGCCUGAUCCAGCCAUGCCGCGUGAGUGAAGAAGGCCUCGG